Molecule: ribosomal RNA, 1738 nt
Filed under: Burkholderia contaminans LMG 23361
Lineage: Bacteria; Pseudomonadati; Pseudomonadota; Betaproteobacteria; Burkholderiales; Burkholderiaceae
Description: bacterial LSU rRNA
Rfam family: Bacterial large subunit ribosomal RNA
Source: RNAcentral
GUUAUAGGGUCAAGCGAACAAGUGCAUGUGGUGGAUGCCUUGGCGAUCACAGGCGAUGAAGGACGCGGUAGCCUGCGAAAAGCUACGGGGAGCUGGCAAACAAGCUUUGAUCCGUAGAUGUCCGAAUGGGGAAACCCACUCCUUUUGGAGUAUCCAUGGCUGAAUACAUAGGCCAUGCGAAGCGAACGCGGUGAACUGAAACAUCUAAGUAACCGCAGGAAAAGAAAUCAACCGAGAUUCCCAAAGUAGUGGCGAGCGAAAUGGGAUGAGCCUUGCACUCUUUAUUUGUAUUGUUAGCCGAACGCUCUGGAAAGUGCGGCCAUAGCAGGUGAUAGCCCUGUAGGCGAAAACAGUAUGAAAGAACUAGGUGUGCGACAAGUAGGGCGGGACACGUGAAAUCCUGUCUGAAGAUGGGGGGACCAUCCUCCAAGGCUAAAUACUCGUGAUCGACCGAUAGUGAACCAGUACCGUGAGGGAAAGGCGAAAAGAACCCCGGGAGGGGAGUGAAAUAGAUCCUGAAACCGCAUGCAUACAAACAGUCGGAGCCUCGUAAGGGGUGACGGCGUACCUUUUGUAUAAUGGGUCAGCGACUUACGUUCAGUAGCAAGCUUAACCGUAUAGGGCAGGCGUAGCGAAAGCGAGUCCGAAUAGGGCGUUCAGUUGCUGGGCGUAGACCCGAAACCAGGUGAUCUAUCCAUGGCCAGGAUGAAGGUGCGGUAACACGUACUGGAGGUCCGAACCCACUAACGUUGAAAAGUUAGGGGAUGAGCUGUGGAUAGGGGUGAAAGGCUAAACAAACCUGGAAAUAGCUGGUUCUCUCCGAAAACUAUUUAGGUAGUGCCUCGUGUCUCACCUUCGGGGGUAGAGCACUGUCAUGGUUGGGGGGUCUAUUGCAGAUUACCCCGCCAUAGCAAACUCCGAAUACCGAAGAGUGCAAUCACGGGAGACAGACAUCGGGUGCUAACGUCCGGUGUCAAGAGGGAAACAACCCAGACCGCCAGCUAAGGUCCCCAAAUAUAGCUAAGUGGGAAACGAAGUGGGAAGGCUAAAACAGUCAGGAGGUUGGCUUAGAAGCAGCCACCCUUUAAAGAAAGCGUAAUAGCUCACUGAUCGAGUCGUCCUGCGCGGAAGAUGUAACGGGGCUAAGCUAUAUACCGAAGCUGCGGAUGCGUGCUUAGCACGCAUGGUAGGAGAGCGUUCCGUAAGCCUGCGAAGGUGCUUUGUAAAGGGUGCUGGAGGUAUCGGAAGUGCGAAUGCUGACAUGAGUAGCGAUAAAGGGGGUGAAAGGCCCCCUCGCCGUAAGCCCAAGGUUUCCUACGCAACGUUCAUCGGCGUAGGGUGAGUCGGCCCCUAAGGCGAGGCAGAAAUGCGUAGCUGAUGGGAAGCAGGUCAAUAUUCCUGCACCAUUGUUAGAUGCGAUGGGGGGACGGAUCGCGGAAGGUUGUCCGGGUGUUGGAAGUCCCGGUCGCUGCAUUGGAGAAGGCGCUUAGGCAAAUCCGGGCGCGGAAUUCAAGGGUGUGGCGCGAGCUCCUUAGGGAGCGAAGCAAUUGGAAGUGGUUCCAAGAAAAGCCUCUAAGCUUCAGUCUAACGAUGACCGUACCGCAAACCGACACAGGUGGGCGAGAUGAGUAUUCUAAGGCGCUUGAGAGAACUCGGGAGAAGGAACUCGGCAAAUUGGUACCGUAACUUCGGGAUAAGGUACGCCCUUGUAGCUUGACUGGCUUGCGCCAGAAGGGUG